RNAcentral lists this ribosomal RNA (497 nucleotides) under uncultured bacterium. RNAcentral describes it as "partial 16S ribosomal RNA". It matches the Rfam family "Bacterial small subunit ribosomal RNA", at positions 28 to 507 of the family's 1533-position model. The record is from RNAcentral.
GAUGAACGCUGGCGGCGUGCCUAACACAUGCAAGUCGAGCGAACGGACGAGAAGCUUUCUUCUCUGAGGUUAUCGGCGGACGGGUGAUGAACACGUGGAUAACCUACCUAUCAGACUGGGAUAAUAUCGGGAAACCGGAGCUAAUACCGGAUCAUAUUUUGAAUCUGGUUGUUCAAAAGUAAGAUACGGUCUUUGUGUCGGUGAUAGAUGGAUCCGGGCUGGAUUAGCUAGUUGGUAGGGGAAUGGCUUACCAAGGCAACGACGCAUAGCCGCCCCGAAAGGGUGAUCGGCCACCCUGGCACGGAGACACGGCCGCGACUCCUACGCGGGGAAGCAGUCGGGACUCUUACGCGAUGGAGGAAAGCCUGAUGGUGCAAAGCCGCGUGAAUGAUGAAGGUCUUCGGCUGGUAAAACUCUGUUAUCAGGGAAGAAGAUAUGUGUAAGUAACUGUGAACAUCUUGACGGUACCUAAUCAGAAAGCCCCGGCUAACUACGUG